UACGGAGGAUGCAAGCGUUAUCCGGAAUCAUUGGGCGUAAAGCGUCUGUAGGUGGUUUUGUAAGUCCGCUGUAAAAGAGUACAGCUUAACUGUAUAUGGGCAGUGGAAACUACAAGACUGGAGUGUGGUAGGGGUAGAGGGAAUUCCCGGUGUAGCGGUGAAAUGCGUAGAUAUCGGGAAGAACACCAAUGGCGAAAGCACUCUACUGGGCCAACACUGACACUGAGAGACGAAAGCUAAGGGAGCGAAAAGGAUUAGAUACCCUUGUAGUCUUAGCCGUAAACGAUGGAUACUAAGUGGUGCGCGUAUUCAUGCCUGCACUGCUGUAGCUAACGCGUUAAGUAUCCCGCCUGGGGAGUAUGCUCGCAAGGGUGAAACUCAAAGGAAUUGACGGGGGCCCGCACAAGCGGUGGAGCAUGUGGUUUAAUUCGAUGCAACGCGAAGAACCUUACCAGGGCUUGACAUGCCACGAAUCUUUCAGAGAUGAGAGAGUGCCUUCGGGAACGUGGACACAGGUGGUGCACGGCUGUCGUCAGCUCGUGUCGUGAGAUGUUGGGUUAAGUCCCGCAACGAGCGCAACCCUUAUCUUUAGUUAAAAACAACUCUAGAGAGACUGCCAGUGAUAAACUGGAGGAAGGUGAGGAUGACGUCAAGUCAGCAUGCCCCUUACGCCCUGGGCUACACACGUGCUACAAUGGUUGGGACAAAGAGAUGCAAACUCGCGAGAGCAAGCUAACCUCAAAAACCUAAUCUCAGUUCGGAUUGCAGGCUGCAACUCGCCUGCAUGAAGGUGGAAUCGCUAGUAAUCGCAGGUCAGCCAUACUGCGGUGAAUUCGUUCCCGGGCCU
RNAcentral lists this ribosomal RNA (847 nucleotides) under uncultured organism. RNAcentral describes it as "SSU rRNA". It matches the Rfam family "Bacterial small subunit ribosomal RNA", at positions 524 to 1381 of the family's 1533-position model. The record is from RNAcentral.